This 801-nucleotide ribosomal RNA is filed under the name uncultured archaeon. RNAcentral describes it as "bacterial SSU rRNA". It matches the Rfam family "Archaeal small subunit ribosomal RNA", at positions 26 to 803 of the family's 1478-position model. The record is from RNAcentral.
ACUGCUAUCGGGAUAGGACUAAGACAUGCUAGUCGAGCGCUUCCUAGCCAAUUUGGGAGCGCGGCACACAGCUCAGUAACACGUGGCUAACCUGCCCUUGGGACAAGAACAACCCCGGGAAACUGGGGCUAAUUCGUGAUAGGCGAAGAACUCUGGAAUGAGUCUUCACCCAAAAGACGCUUACACUAUGCUUGUAGACGCCGCCCAAGGAUGGGGCCGCGACCGAUCAGGUUGUUGGUGAGGUAAUGGCUCACCAAGCCUUUUACCGGUGCGGGCCGUGAGAGCGGGAGCCCGGAGAUGGGCACUGAGACAAGGGCCCAGGCCCUACGGGGCGCAGCAGUCGCGAAAACUUUGCAAUAAGCGAAAGCUUGACAGGGCUAUCCCGAGUGCCAUCCGCUGAGGAAGGCUUUUACCCAGUCUAGAACGCUGGGGGAAUAAGGAGAGGGCAAGUCUGGUGUCAGCCGCCGCGGUAAUACCAGCUCUCCGAGUGGUGUGGAUGUUUAUUGGGCCUAAAGCAUCCGUAGCUGGCUAGGUUAGUCCCUUGUUAAAUCCACCGAAUUAAUCGUUGGAUUGCGGGGGAUACUGCCUGGCUAGGGGACGAGAGAGGCAGACGGUAUUUCCGGGGUAGGGGUGAAAUCCUAUAAUCCCGGGAAGACCACCAGUGGCGAAAGCUGUCUGCUAGAACGCGCCCGACGGUGAGGGAUGAAAGCUGGGGGAGCGAACCGGAUUAGAUACCCGGGUAGUCCCAGCUGUAAACGAUGCAGACUAGUGUUUGGGACGGCACGUGCCGGUUCUAGUGCC